RNAcentral lists this long non-coding RNA (340 nucleotides) under Androctonus crassicauda. The record is from RNAcentral. Lineage: Eukaryota; Metazoa; Arthropoda; Arachnida; Scorpiones; Buthidae.
AAAAUUUAUUAAAUUAUAUGAAUUACUUUUAUAAUACUAUAUGAUACUCAUACUUAAAAUCUUAUCAUUGGAAAUAUUUUCUGAAAUUUCUUUUUCCAGAAGUAGAUGUAUUUUAUGAUUGUCAUAAAUAAAAUAAAUGCUUUCCUUGGAGGCCGCCAUCUUGAAUUAGCUUGUAAGCUUGCAGACGAACUUGCUAGCUCCUCUAGCAUGCCAAUUUCGCUAACUCUGACAUCAUUCAGCUCAAAAGUAAACGAUUGCUGGCACGGAGCUAGGGUGAAAGUAUACAGCUUGGGCAUGCUAUUUGCAGAAUUAGUUCAGAAGUAAAUGCAGCUAUGGUGGC